RNAcentral lists this small RNA (1636 nucleotides) under Arabidopsis thaliana (thale cress). RNAcentral describes it as "ATSL021020". The record is from RNAcentral. Lineage: Eukaryota; Viridiplantae; Streptophyta; Magnoliopsida; Brassicales; Brassicaceae.
UAGGAAUCGUACAUAUACGUUCCACUAAAUAAUUUUGUGUACGUACAUUAUAAAUUAAAUAUAUAUACAUGAAGAAAUCCGAUGAAAGGUAUAACUGUAAUUUUUCAGUCAUCUUUAACCUGAGUAUCUUUUUCUGCAUUUGAGUGUCACUAAUGAACAUGUUCUUGAUUGAAAAAGCAUCGAUCAUUUAGAAAAAAAUUAAGUCAUUCGAUCAUUUGUGAGUCCUAAACGGGAGAUAAGACAUGAUUUUUGGAAUAAUAUAAGCACACUACUAACUAUGUAUUCGGUAUAGUAUUGAAAGGUAAAUAUUUUACGUACAUGAAUACAUAUAGUUAUGAAAGACCUGCAGUUUAGUAUUGGAAAAUAGGUUUUACCUGAAUCAGACUACGAUUCGUUGAAUAUCAUAUUUGCAUAAUUUAUAUUGAGAUUUAUAGCCAUACAAAUAACUUAAUUUUGAUGUCAAAAAAUUAGAUUAAUGGUGUACCAUGUACGCUCCAAUAAAUAUUUUUGUGUACGUACAUAGUAUAAGACUUAUGUGAUUUAGGCAUUUUUAGGAUAUAAAUAUUUGAAGAGGUCAUACACGUGUACGUGUAUCUCAAUAUUAUCGUGUACGUCUACGGGUUUAGUUUUAAAUCUUACCUAUUCUCAACAAAUAAUAUCGUAUAACAUAAUGCUUACUAAAGAAUGUCAAAAUAACAAUUAAAUAGAAACAACAACAUCAAAACAAAAAAUAUCAUAUAUAUCGUACUAAAUACAUAACAUUUGGCUAACUCGCCGUAUGCACCAUCGUAGAUACCAAAAAUUACAAAAAUUCGUCAAUAUUGUAAAUAACAAUGUCUUCAUCUCUAGUAGGACUAUAGUAAAAUAUACCCUCACCAUGGUCAAUAUUGGUUUAUUAUUGUAUCAAUAAAUAUAUCUCAACAAUUUUAACUCAUGAAAAGAUGUACGUACAUCAUUUUUCAAAAGUAUUAAGAAUAUCUAUACUUUGACUAUAUAUUUUUACUUAAUUAUUAUAUAUGCAUAGAUUUUAUGGAGAAAACUCCGAAAAUAUCUCAUCUAAUCAAAAUAACCAAAGAUUUCUAAUGUACAAACUCAAUAUAUAAUUGUGUAUAUCGCUUUAACAAUAAAACAUAAUCUAUUAUAUUUACAUGUCCACAUGUACGUACAUCGUAAAUUACAUAUACGUACACAAAAGAAAUUUAUUGAAGGGUAUAAUUAUAAUUUUGCAUUCGUCUUCAACCUCUGCAACUUUAAUUUUGCACUCUUCUUCAACCUCUGCAACUUUAAUUUUGCACUCUUCUUCAACCUCUUACCCUUACCCACAAUUGUCGUCGCCGACGAUGAUACAUUAACUUCCAAAACUCCUCGCCGCCGACUACUCUUCUUCAUCUCUGCCAUUUUAGUAUGAACAGUAAUUCGAGAAACCAGAAAAUCCUCUUUUUGUUAGACACUUUAAAACGAACUCGAUCGAAAUUUCCUCCACUCAAGCAAAGACUCAAACUCGAACAGAGCCUCAAUCGGAAUUGGGUUUAAGUUUUGUCGGAAUUUUUUGCGUCUUCGAAUACGGACUUCGUCGAAACUGUUUUGCGUUUCUCGAAGACAGUUUUUGAUUUUAUUUUAAGUUUUAAAAUUAUUU